This is a long non-coding RNA of Piliocolobus tephrosceles (Ugandan red Colobus), 1313 nucleotides long. RefSeq lists it as uncharacterized. NCBI's taxonomy places the organism in Eukaryota, Metazoa, Chordata, Mammalia, Primates, Cercopithecidae. The record is from RefSeq and is a predicted model, not a curated record. The transcript is spliced from 4 exons.
UGCGCUCCAGUAAUCAGCCAAUCAAUAACAGCUCCAGCGCCUGAAAGUCAGCCUGUCAGUGACAGCCCCUCACUUAUAGACGACAGCCAAUCUGCCAGUCUUCUCCCCAGUGACAGUGCUUCUGAAAGUCAGCUAACUCCAGUGACCAGGGGUACAACUCACGUCCUGAGUCUCCUACACUCUCACCUCUGGAACAGGCUGGGUUUCUUCAAAACUCAUGCAAGAUCAGCUCAGGCUUGAUAUGAGAGAGACUGUUCCUCCCUUACAAUUUCAACUCUUCCUUGGAGGAAAAUGAGAAGUGCCAGGUUUCUUUCCAGAAUCUUUGGACAAUAGGUGGAGUGGCGGCAGAAAGGGGAAGAAUGGACAUGUGGACCAUUUGGCUGAUCACGUCACUCUAUAGAUGAACUUCUACCACAUUUGAGCGCCCACAUUGAAGACAAAAAUUUGGACAAAACAAAGGAAUGAAUGUUGGACAGAAGUUUCGAAGACCUCUAUGGAAAGAUAAAGCUCUCAGAGGUAUCAACCUCAUAUGAAAGCGUCCUUUAAAAGGUCGUUUUAUUAAGGCUAUGGCAAAGAAAUAAUUUUUGGAAAUGGUAGCUUUCCCAUUAGAUGGAAUGUUUAUUUUCCCUUGAUUUUAAACAGUCUACAGUGUACUUUUAUUUCCUAACUUAUUUAAUUGUCAGAACAGCCCUAUGAGCUAAGAAUUAGCAUUUCCACCCUUGUAGGAGAGCUGGUAUGUCAACCCUUGUCUCUUGAACAUGAAAAUAUAUGUUCCAAAUUAUUAUAUCAGGAAUACAGGAGCAACUCCAUGUAUUUUAAGUAAAGGAAAGUGAGACUCAAAUAUUUUAUCAAAAAAUAAAAUAGAAAACAAAGAAGCAUGAAUUCCAAGCAAAUGCCUUGUUAAAUAGGAUCUUUGUAAGCAUUGCAUCGUCUCCUCUAUCUUUGCAAAUGUCUGGUCUUUUGUAAUAGACUGCAGGUGGGGCAACCUUGUGUUCUCUACAUUAUGCCUUUUCCUGGGAACCGAGAAAAACUAUGUUUCCCAGCCUUCCUUGCAGUUAGGUUGGGGCCAUAUAACUCAGUUCUGUCCAGUGGAAUGAGAGGGGAAGGGAUGUCUUUCACUUUCAGGCCUGUACUUCCUCUACCAUCUUUUUGUUCUGCCACUGAAUCCUUAGAUUCCAGAUUUUCCAGACGCCAUGGCUACAAGACGGAGGAGAGCCACUUGAUCUGUAGGGACUUUGAGUGAAAAUAAAGAAACCUUUAUUGUGUUAAGCCAUGUAGAUUUGGUAGUUGUUACAGCAGCUAGCUGGUAUUAA